GGAAUAUUGCACAAUGGGGGAAACCCUGAUGCAGCGACGCCGCGUGAGUGAUGAAGUAUUUCGGUAUGUAAAGCUCUAUCAGCAGGGAAGAAAAUGACGGUACCUGAGUAAGAAGCCCCGGCUAACUACGUGCCAGCAGCCGCGGUAAUACGUAGGGGGCAAGCGUUAUCCGGAUUUACUGGGUGUAAAGGGAGCGUAGACGGCAUAGCAAGUCUGAAGUGAAAGCCCAAGGCUCAACCAUGGGACUGCUUUGGAAACUGUUAAGCUAGAGUGCUGGAGAGGUAAGCGGAAUUCCUAGUGUAGCGGUGAAAUGCGUAGAUAUUAGGAGGAACACCAGUGGCGAAGGCGGCUUACUGGACGGAAACUGACGUUGAGGCUCGAAAGCGUGGGGAGCAAACA
Molecule: ribosomal RNA, 399 nt
Filed under: uncultured bacterium
Lineage: Bacteria
Description: bacterial SSU rRNA
Rfam family: Bacterial small subunit ribosomal RNA
Source: RNAcentral